GUCAGUUCAGGCAGAGCCUUUGCUCAGAGAGGAGCUCUGUUUGCGAGCUCCUCUCUCCCUCUUCAAUUAAGGACUUUUUUUGCCCAACUGACAUGGGCCGGGUAAAGAAGCCUGUUGCUUCAAGCUGGUGAUCUGGUUACUCAUUCUGCCCUAAGAGCCUAGUGGAGAGACAACAAAGAUGAUCCACAAAAAUGAAUGGAAUUAUGACAAUCAACUCUUGAAGGCUCAGAAGUCUGCUAUGUCUGGAAAAGGAAACCCAGUGCCUUGGAGCCAGGGUGUGGUGGGGGAAUGCACUCAGCUUUACCCAACAGAUACUGGAAGAAGAAAAGAGCUGCAAUUUAAAGGUGCAGAAGAGUGAAACCAGGAGAAUCUCUAAAGUAAGUGAAGUUGCAUAGGAAUGUGAAUAGAAUUCAGAUCAGGAGUUCCAACAUUCAGCAGGAGAAACCUGAUAUUUGUGGCAUCCUUUUGAUGGUGUGAGAAGACUAUAUAUAUACCGGCACCAAUGGCAACAGUGUCUUUUAUGUUCUCCAGACUCCAUCAAACGGACAGCCAUUGCUCAGAACAGUUGACUUGCUCAGCUUAUAGGAAAUCCUCAAACAGCAUGGAGUAU
Hemicordylus capensis (graceful crag lizard) is the source of this 610-nucleotide long non-coding RNA. RefSeq lists it as uncharacterized. The transcript is spliced from 6 exons. Lineage: Eukaryota; Metazoa; Chordata; Lepidosauria; Squamata; Cordylidae. The record is from RefSeq and is a predicted model, not a curated record.